RNAcentral lists this ribosomal RNA (2491 nucleotides) under Listeria monocytogenes. Its description in RNAcentral is "partial 23S ribosomal RNA". It matches the Rfam family "Bacterial large subunit ribosomal RNA", at positions 438 to 2925 of the family's 2925-position model. Lineage: Bacteria; Bacillati; Bacillota; Bacilli; Caryophanales; Listeriaceae. The record is from RNAcentral.
CGGAAUCCGGGAGGACCAUCUCCCAAGGCUAAAUACUCCCUAGUGACCGAUAGUGAACCAGUACCGUGAGGGAAAGGUGAAAAGCACCCCGGAAGGGGAGUGAAACAGUUCCUGAAACCGUGUGCCUACAAGUAGUUAGAGCCCGUUAAUGGGUGAUAGCGUGCCUUUUGUAGAAUGAACCGGCGAGUUACGAUUUGUUGCAAGGUUAAGCGGAAAAAGCGGAGCCGUAGCGAAAGCGAGUCUGAAUAGGGCGCAUAAGUAACAGGUCGUAGACCCGAAACCAGGUGAUCUACCCAUGUCCAGGAUGAAGGUAAGGUAAUACUUACUGGAGGUCCGAACCCACGCACGUUGAAAAGUGCGGGGAUGAGGUGUGGGUAGCGGAGAAAUUCCAAUCGAACUUGGAGAUAGCUGGUUCUCUCCGAAAUAGCUUUAGGGCUAGCCUCGAGGUAAAGAGUCAUGGAGGUAGAGCACUGUUUGGACUAGGGGCCCUUCUCGGGUUACCGAAUUCAGAUAAACUCCGAAUGCCAUGUACUUAUACUCGGGAGUCAGACUGCGAGUGAUAAGAUCCGUAGUCGAAAGGGAAACAGCCCAGACCACCAGUUAAGGUCCCCAAAUAUAUGUUAAGUGGAAAAGGAUGUGGGGUUGCUUAGACAACCAGGAUGUUGGCUUAGAAGCAGCCACCAUUGAAAGAGUGCGUAAUAGCUCACUGGUCGAGUGACCCCGCGCCGAAAAUGUACCGGGGCUAAACAUAUUACCGAAACUGUGGAUGAACCUCUUUAGAGGUUCGUGGUAGGAGAGCGUUCUAAGGGCGGUGAAGUCAGACCGGAAGGACUGGUGGAGCGCUUAGAAGUGAGAAUGCCGGUAUGAGUAGCGAAAGAAGGGUGAGAAUCCCUUCCACCGAAUAUCUAAGGUUUCCUGAGGAAGGCUCGUCCGCUCAGGGUUAGUCGGGACCUAAGCCGAGGCCGAUAGGCGUAGGCGAUGGACAACAGGUAGAGAUUCCUGUACCAGUGCUAAUUGUUUAACCGAUGGGGUGACACAGAAGGAUAGGGAAUCGCACGAAUGGAAAUGUGCGUCCAAGCAGUGAGUGUGAGAAGUAGGCAAAUCCGCUUCUCGCGAAGCAUGAGCUGUGAUGGGGAAGGAAAUUAAGUACGGAAGUUCCUGAUUUCACGCUGUCAAGAAAAGCCUCUAGGAAGAGUAGUACUGCCCGUACCGCAAACCGACACAGGUAGAUGAGGAGAGAAUCCUAAGGUGAGCGAGAGAACUCUCGUUAAGGAACUCGGCAAAAUGACCCCGUAACUUCGGGAGAAGGGGUGCUCUAUUAGGGUGCAAGCCCGAGAGAGCCGCAGUGAAUAGGCCCAGGCGACUGUUUAGCAAAAACACAGGUCUCUGCAAAACCGUAAGGUGACGUAUAGGGGCUGACGCCUGCCCGGUGCUGGAAGGUUAAGAGGAGUGCUUAGCUUCGGCGAAGGUACGAAUUGAAGCCCCAGUAAACGGCGGCCGUAACUAUAACGGUCCUAAGGUAGCGAAAUUCCUUGUCGGGUAAGUUCCGACCCGCACGAAAGGCGCAACGAUCUGGGCACUGUCUCAACGAGAGACUCGGUGAAAUUAUAGUACCUGUGAAGAUGCAGGUUACCCGCGACAGGACGGAAAGACCCCGUGGAGCUUUACUGCAACCUGAUAUGGAAUGUUUGUACCGCUUGUACAGGAUAGGUAGGAGCCGAAGAGACGUGUGCGCUAGCAUACGAGGAGGCAAUGGUGGGAUACUACCCUGGCUGUAUGACCAUUCUAACCCGCCACGCUUAGCGCGUGGGGAGACAGUGUCAGGUGGGCAGUUUGACUGGGGCGGUCGCCUCCUAAAGAGUAACGGAGGCGCCCAAAGGUUCCCUCAGAAUGGAUGGAAAUCAUUCGCAGAGUGUAAAGGCACAAGGGAGCUUGACUGCGAGACUGACAAGUCGAGCAGGGACGAAAGUCGGGCUUAGUGAUCCGGUGGUUCCGCAUGGAAGGGCCAUCGCUCAACGGAUAAAAGCUACCCCGGGGAUAACAGGCUUAUCUCCCCCAAGAGUCCACAUCGACGGGGAGGUUUGGCACCUCGAUGUCGGCUCGUCGCAUCCUGGGGCUGUAGUCGGUCCCAAGGGUUGGGCUGUUCGCCCAUUAAAGCGGCACGCGAGCUGGGUUCAGAACGUCGUGAGACAGUUCGGUCCCUAUCCGUCGCGGGCGCAGGAAAUUUGAGAGGAGCUGUCCUUAGUACGAGAGGACCGGGAUGGACACACCGCUGGUGUACCAGUUGUUCCGCCAGGAGCAUCGCUGGGUAGCUAUGUGUGGCAGGGAUAAACGCUGAAAGCAUCUAAGCGUGAAGCCCCCCUCAAGAUGAGAUUUCCCAUUUCUUCGGAAAGUAAGAUCCCUGAAAGAUGAUCAGGUAGAUAGGUUUGGAGUGGAAGUGUAGCGAUACAUGGAGCGGACAAAUACUAAUCGAUCGAGGACUUAACCAAAA